UGUUACCGCAAAGAGCUGGCCAGCGGACAUGAAAAUAUUGAACUUAUGAUGGAAAAAUUCAUGGGAAAAAUGCAGGGAUAAGACCUGCAUUUCUAAGGACCUAUCUGCUUCCUGAUGCAUGCUCCAGGUCUGAUUGGAAUUGGCCUUUAUUGGCAAAGCUCCCACCUCUAAAGCUGCAUGGCUUUGGGCUCAGAUGAGCACAUACAGGAAAGGUCUGCGUGGCUGUUUUUGAAGAGGAAGGAAGAAAAUCUUGUUGGUAGCACAAGGACAAAGGUGGCAACACACUAGAAAGGGUGUGCAACAAGAAUUUAAAAAUGGGUUUAACAACAGAUAUUCAGACGUGACGAAGAAAUUUAGCAGUAAGUGCAGGUAAGACAAGCUGUUCUGUAUAGGGAAAAUCUAUGGGAAAAUGGGAGUUGAGAGUAACAG
RNAcentral lists this long non-coding RNA (429 nucleotides) under Anas platyrhynchos (mallard). RNAcentral describes it as "lncRNA (ENSAPLG00020006717.1)". The record is from RNAcentral. Lineage: Eukaryota; Metazoa; Chordata; Aves; Anseriformes; Anatidae.